Molecule: ribosomal RNA, 301 nt
Filed under: uncultured bacterium
Lineage: Bacteria
Description: partial 16S ribosomal RNA
Rfam family: Bacterial small subunit ribosomal RNA
Source: RNAcentral
CAGUCGCCGCGGGAACACGUAGGGUGCAAGCGUUAAUCGGAAUUACUGGGCGUAAAGCGUGCGCAGGCGGUUUGUUAAGACAGAUGUGAAAUCCCCGGGCUCAACCUGGGAACUGCAUUUGUGACUGGCAAGCUAGAGUCUGGCAGAGGGGGGUGGAAUUCCGCGUGUAGCAGUGAAAUGCGUAGAUAUGCGGAGGAACACCGAUGGCGAAGGCAGCCCCCUGGGCCAACACUGACGCUCAUGCACGAAAGCGUGGGGAGCAAACAGGAUUAGAUACCCCAGUAGUCCCUGUCUCUUAUAC